UACGGAGGGUGCAAGCGUUAUCCGGAUUCACUGGGUUUAAAGGGUGCGUAGGUGGGCUAGUAAGUCCGUGGUGAAAUCUCCAAGCUUAACUUGGAAACUGCCGUGGAUACUAUUAGUCUUGAAUAUUGUGGAGGUAAGCGGAAUAUGUCAUGUAGCGGUGAAAUGCUUAGAUAUGACAUAGAACACCGAUAGCGAAGGCAAUCCCCUGGACCUGUACUGACGCUCAUGCACGAAAGCGUGGGGAGCAAACAGG
Molecule: ribosomal RNA, 253 nt
Filed under: uncultured bacterium
Lineage: Bacteria
Description: partial 16S ribosomal RNA
Rfam family: Bacterial small subunit ribosomal RNA
Source: RNAcentral